This 468-nucleotide ribosomal RNA is filed under the name uncultured bacterium. RNAcentral's name for it is "partial 16S ribosomal RNA". It matches the Rfam family "Bacterial small subunit ribosomal RNA", at positions 28 to 507 of the family's 1533-position model. The record is from RNAcentral.
GACGAACGCUGGCGGCGUGCUUAACACAUGCAAGUCGAACGGAAAGGCCCUGCUUUUGUGGGGUGCUCGAGUGGCGAACGGGUGAGUAACACGUGAGUAACCUGCCCUUGACUUUGGGAUAACUUCAGGAAACUGGGGCUAAUACCGGAUAGGAGCUCCUGCUGCAUGGUGGGGGUUGGAAAGUUUCGGCGGUUGGGGAUGGACUCGCGGCUUAUCAGCUUGUUGUUGGGGUAGUGGCUUACCAAGGCUUUGACGGGUAGCAGGCCUGAGAGGGUGACCGGCCACAUUGGGACUGAGAUACGGCCCAGACUCCUACGGGAGGCAGCAGUGGGGAAUAUUGAACAAUGGGCGGAAGCCUGAUGCAGCAACGCCGCGUGCGGGAUGACGGCCUUCGGGUUGUAAACCGCUUUCGCCUGUGACGAAGCGUGAGUGACGGUAAUGGGUAAAGAAGCACCGGCUAACUAAGUG